RNAcentral lists this ribosomal RNA (173 nucleotides) under Phymatostetha triseriata. Its description in RNAcentral is "partial small subunit ribosomal RNA". It matches the Rfam family "Eukaryotic small subunit ribosomal RNA", at positions 1256 to 1433 of the family's 1831-position model. Lineage: Eukaryota; Metazoa; Arthropoda; Insecta; Hemiptera; Cercopidae. The record is from RNAcentral.
UCUUUCUUGAUUCGGUGGGUGGUGGUGCAUGGCCGUUCUUAGUUGGUGGAGCGAUUUGUCUGGUUAAUUCCGAUAACGAACGAGACUCUAGCCUGCUAACUAGGCGAUUUCCGGUACCCACAAUAGUGUUACCGGCGAUUCAAUUUCUUCUUAGAGGGACAGGCGGCUCCUAG